GGGCUGUAGCUCAGCUGGGAGAGCACCUGCUUUGCAAGCAGGGGGUCAGCGGUUCGAUCCCGCUCAGCUCCACCA
Molecule: transfer RNA, 75 nt
Filed under: Rhizobium leguminosarum
Lineage: Bacteria; Pseudomonadati; Pseudomonadota; Alphaproteobacteria; Hyphomicrobiales; Rhizobiaceae
Also listed under: 2 other names
Description: tRNA-Ala
Rfam family: tRNA
About the family: Transfer RNA (tRNA) molecules are approximately 80 nucleotides in length. Their secondary structure includes four short double-helical elements and three loops (D, anti-codon, and T loops). Further hydrogen bonds mediate the characteristic L-shaped molecular structure. tRNAs have two regions of fundamental functional importance: the anti-codon, which is responsible for specific mRNA codon recognition, and the 3' end, to which the tRNAs corresponding amino acid is attached (by aminoacyl-tRNA synthetases). tRNAs cope with the degeneracy of the genetic code in two manners: having more than one tRNA (with a specific anti-codon) for a particular amino acid; and 'wobble' base-pairing, i.e. permitting non-standard base-pairing at the 3rd anti-codon position.
Source: RNAcentral